GCCUAAUACAUGCAAGUCGAACGAUGGUCCCCAGCUUGCUGGGGGGAUUAGUGGCGAACGGGUGAGUAACACGUGAGUAACCUGCCCUUGACUCUGGGAUAAGCCUGGGAAACUGGGUCUAAUACCGGAUACGACCGCUCACCGCAUGGUGUGGUGGUGGAAAGCUUUUGCGGUUUUGGAUGGACUCGCGGCCUAUCAGCUUGUUGGUGGGGUAAUGGCCUACCAAGGCGACGACGGGUAGCCGGCCUGAGAGGGUGACCGGCCACACUGGGACUGAGACACGGCCCAGACUCCUACGGGAGGCAGCAGUGGGGAAUAUUGCACAAUGGGCGAAAGCCUGAUGCAGCGACGCCGCGUGAGGGAUGACGGCCUUCGGGUUGUAAACCUCUUUCAGUAGGGAAGAAGCGAAAGUGACGGUACCUGCAGAAGAAGCGCCGGCUAACUACGUGCCAGCAGCCGCGGUAAUACGUAGGGCGCAAGCGUUAUCCGGAAUUAUUGGGCGUAAAGAGCUCGUAGGCGGUUUGUCGCGUCUGCUGUGAAAGACCGGGGCUCAACUCCGGUUCUGCAGUGGGUACGGGC
Molecule: ribosomal RNA, 579 nt
Filed under: uncultured Actinomycetes bacterium
Lineage: Bacteria; Bacillati; Actinomycetota; Actinomycetes
Description: bacterial SSU rRNA
Rfam family: Bacterial small subunit ribosomal RNA
Source: RNAcentral